CUCAGAUGGCCCUCUCACUCGGCCCUGAGGAAAAGGACACUGUGGCCACGGCUUCUAAUCUCCCAGAGACGCAACUGACUGUCCAGAGAUCGCCACUGCCUCGAGGAUCCCCAGAAGUGGUCAAGCAGUUUCAGCCUCCUGUGACAGUAGAAAUUACCAGCAGUCUUGAGUGAACGGACGGUCCAGAGAAGACCACAGAGUCCUGCCUCGGGGUCCUAGGAGUGGCCAAGUGAGUUCAGCCUGCUGUGAAAAUUGCCAGCGGAAUGAGUUGGAGGACGAUUCAGAGAACACAACAGGCUCCUGCUUCAGGGGCAAGCAGCUUUAGCCUCCUGUGGAAAUUGCCAACUUUGCGAUUUGAGUAACGGGUAAGACUUUUUUUUUUCCCAGUAAUGGUUAUCAUGCAGGCUGUGUGACAGGUCUAGAAAAGUGUUUGCAACUGUACGAUUGCAUAAUGUGUUAACUUGCGGUGCUUCUUGGCUUUGGUUGCAUGUCCU
Gasterosteus aculeatus aculeatus (three-spined stickleback) is the source of this 494-nucleotide long non-coding RNA. Lineage: Eukaryota; Metazoa; Chordata; Actinopteri; Perciformes; Gasterosteidae. The record is from Ensembl.